UGAUAUUUCCUACCCCACCCUCUCUCCCUCCCUCCUUUUGUUCCUUCCUCCUCUUUCUUAUCUUACUUUUCUCCUGAUUUUUAGAAUGACAAACUUUCAAUUUACUUUAUAAUCACUAGUAUAAAGUAAAUGCAAAUAUGAGCAAAAUUGGUAUUUUGAGAUUUGGCUAGUGUUUAUAGCCCUCGUCUGUAUUCUUGAGGAACAGUGGUUUUUUUUUUUUACUUACUAUUUAUGGAAUUCUUUAUUUUUAGGGGGUUAAGCUUGUGAAUUUUUUAAAAGAUUAAUUUUAUUUACUUGAAAGGCAGAAUGACAGAGAGAGAGUGAGAGACAGAGAGAAAAGUAUAUCUUCCAUCUGCUGGUUCACUCCUGAAAUAGCUGCAACAGCCAGGAAUGGGCCCAGCAGAAGUCGGUAGCCUGGAACUCCUCCAGGGUCUUGCUCAUGGGUGGUAGGCUCUUAAGUACUUGGGUCAUUAUUCACUGCAUUCCCAGGUGAAUUUGUUGGGAGCUAGAUCAGAAAUGGAGAGCCCUCCCCACUGACGGCCUCCCUGCCACUGCCGCCCCUCCCUGACUGGGUCCACCUGACCUCUCUGAUUUGGGAUGCCAGAAUCGCAGACUGCAGCUUAACCUACCAUGUCAUUACAACAGCCAGGAUUUCAUAUUUUUUCCAUAAUUUCCAAGGUAUUCAUGUGUGUUAUAUAAGGAAAAAAAGUAUAAAGGAGUUCAGUCAACAAAGCAGUAUUUAAUUAUUACAUACUGUGAUAUGAUAUGUUUUGUUUAAAGACAUUUUUAAGACUUUAAAGACUAGAUUUCAAGUCUAAUACGAUACUAGAAAAUACAUUGGGUAUAAGAAAGACACUAGCAGCCAGAAAUUGAAAUUAACCAAAAAUGAAAGAAAGAAAGAAAGAAAGAAAGAAAGAAAGAAAGAAAGAAAGAAAGAAAGAAAGAAAGAAAGAAAAAGAAAAAAUAUAUGGAUCCCUUUUAAUGUAUUUUUACAACAGUGGAGGAUAUUUUAUAUCAAUUCUUGCUAACAACUCUGGCAAAAUUAACUGAUCAGAAUAUGACAGCCCAAUUGGACAACUUGUGAAUAUGGAGAAAAUUUUAAAUUUAUGUGGAUCUCCCAAGAGGAAUUUAAAGGUUUUUUUUUUAAGUUUCUUUCCAUUUACACUGUGUUUUUUU
This 1176-nucleotide long non-coding RNA is filed under the name Oryctolagus cuniculus (rabbit). RNAcentral's name for it is "lncRNA (ENSOCUG00000038280.1)". Lineage: Eukaryota; Metazoa; Chordata; Mammalia; Lagomorpha; Leporidae. The record is from RNAcentral.